This 497-nucleotide ribosomal RNA is filed under the name uncultured bacterium. RNAcentral describes it as "bacterial SSU rRNA". It matches the Rfam family "Bacterial small subunit ribosomal RNA", at positions 29 to 517 of the family's 1533-position model. The record is from RNAcentral.
AAUGAACGCUGGCGGCGUGCCUAACACAUGCAAGUCGGAUGUGCCCGCAAGGGUGCAUGGCAGACGGGUGAGUAACGCGUGGGGAAUCUACCUUUUAGUGGGGAAUAACGCUCCGAAAGGAGUGGUAAUACCGCAUGUGACCAUCGGCUGGGAUGCUGAUGGUGAAACCCUGGGACCUUCGGGCCAGGGGCUAGAAGAGGAUCCUGCGUCUGAUUAGCUAGUUGGCGGGGUAACGGCCCACCAAGGCGACGAUCAGUAGCCGGCCUGAGAGGGUGAUCGGCCACACUGGAACUGAGACACGGUCCAGACUCCUACGGGAGGCAGCAGUGGGGAAUUUUGCGCAAUGGACGAAAGUCUGACGCAGCGACGCCGCGUGGAGGAUGACGGUUUUCGGAUUGUAAACUCCUGUUAAGCGGGAAGAAAGCCUUGUUUCUAAUACAAGCAAGGUAUGACGGUACCGCUAGAGAAAGCACCGGCUAACUUCGUGCCAGCAGCCG